Molecule: long non-coding RNA, 362 nt
Organism: Pseudophryne corroboree (corroboree frog)
Lineage: Eukaryota; Metazoa; Chordata; Amphibia; Anura; Myobatrachidae
Exons: 3
Source: RefSeq, a predicted model, not a curated record
UAGGUAUCAUAUCCAUAGGAUACCAUAAGGACUCUGUAUAGAUUUCUGCAUUUUUCACCUGUAUUGUGACUUCUGAGGUCCUCCAUGUGUGCAUGAAGUUGCUGAUUCCUCUUUUUUUCAUACGAAUGCUUCCCUUUUGAGCUCUUCGUAAUCUGAGUUACCAGAUUCACGAGACGCACCCCUGAUGAAGUCUAGUUCCUAGACGAAACGCGUUGGGUUACUGUAUUUCUUGUUGAUGUUAUCUCCGAAUAUUUAAUGAGGAAGAAUAAGGAUACAACAGAAAGGUUGCCUUCUUUCCUCCAUAUCCCAUUGAUGGAUUUCUGUAGGAGAAACUACAUCAUAAUGUACAUGUAAUAAUGAUG